CAGCCGCCGCGGUAAUACGGAGGGAGCUAGCGUUGUUCGGAAUUACUGGGCGUAAAGCGCGCGUAGGCGGUUACUCAAGUCAGAGGUGAAAGCCCGGGGCUCAACCCCGGAACUGCCUUUGAAACUAGGUGACUAGAAUCUUGGAGAGGUCAGUGGAAUUCCGAGUGUAGAGGUGAAAUUCGUAGAUAUUCGGAAGAACACCAGUGGCGAAGGCGACUGACUGGACAAGUAUUGACGCUGAGGUGCGAAAGCGUGGGGAGCAAACAGGAUUAGAGACCCGAGUAGUCCCUGUCUCUUAUAA
RNAcentral lists this ribosomal RNA (301 nucleotides) under uncultured bacterium. RNAcentral's name for it is "partial 16S ribosomal RNA". It matches the Rfam family "Bacterial small subunit ribosomal RNA", at positions 509 to 809 of the family's 1533-position model. The record is from RNAcentral.